Molecule: ribosomal RNA, 528 nt
Filed under: uncultured bacterium
Lineage: Bacteria
Description: bacterial SSU rRNA
Rfam family: Bacterial small subunit ribosomal RNA
Source: RNAcentral
AAUAGAUACCCAGGUAGUCCACGCCGUAAACGUUGGGUACUAGGUGUGGCGUCCCGAUUAACGGAUGCCGUGCCGAAGCUAACGCAUUAAGUACCCCGCCUGGGGAGUACGGCCGCAAGGCUAAAACUCAAAGGAAUUGACGGGUCCCCGCACAAGCGGCGGAGCAUGCGGCUUAAUUCGAUGCAACCCGAAGAACCUUACCUGGACUUGACAUCAUGGGAAAAGCCGUAGAAAUACGGUGUCCGUAAGGGCCCAUGACAGGUGGUGCAUGGCUGUCGUCAGCUCGUGUCGUGAGAUGUUGGGUUAAGUCCCGCAACGAGCGCAACCCUUGUCCUAUGUUGCCAGCACGUUAUGGUGGGGACUCAUAGGAGACCGCCGGGGACAACUCGGAGGAAGGUGAGGACGACGUCAAGUCAUCAUGCCCCUUAUGUCCAGGGCUGCACGCAUGCUACAAUGGCCGGUACAAUAGGCAGCGAACUCGCGAGGGUGAGCGAAUCCUUUAAAGCCGGCCUCAGUUCGGAUUGGAGU